ACUCCUGCGGGAGGCAGCAGUGGGGAAUAUUGGACAAUGGGCGCAAGCCUGAUCCAGCCAUGCCGCGUGAGUGAUGAAGGCCCUAGGGUUGUAAAGCUCUUUCACCGGUGAAGAUAAUGACGGUAACCGGAGAAGAAGCCCCGGCUAACUUCGUGCCAGCAGCCGCGGUAAUACGAAGGGGGCUAGCGUUGUUCGGAUUUACUGGGCGUAAAGCGCACGUAGGCGGACUAUUAAGUCAGGGGUGAAAUCCCGGGGCUCAACCCCGGAACUGCCUUUGAUACUGGUAGUCUUGAGUUCGAGAGAGGUGAGUGGAAUUCCGAGUGUAGAGGUGAAAUUCGUAGAUAUUCGGAGGAACUCCAGUGGCGAAGGCGGCUCACUGGCUCGAUACUGACGCUGAGGUGCGAAAGCGUGGGGAGCAAACAGGAUUAGAAACCCGAGUAGUCCCA
RNAcentral lists this ribosomal RNA (446 nucleotides) under uncultured organism. RNAcentral describes it as "partial 16S ribosomal RNA". It matches the Rfam family "Bacterial small subunit ribosomal RNA", at positions 335 to 797 of the family's 1533-position model. The record is from RNAcentral.